Salmo salar (Atlantic salmon) is the source of this 93-nucleotide non-coding RNA. The record is from Rfam. NCBI's taxonomy places the organism in Eukaryota, Metazoa, Chordata, Actinopteri, Salmoniformes, Salmonidae.
GGCUCUGUGGCUCAGUUGGUAGAGCAUGGUGUUUGCAACUCCAGCAUGGUGUGGGCAACGCCAGGGUUGUGGGUUCGAUUCCCACGGGGGCCA